UACGUAGGGGGCAAGCGUUGUCCGGAUUUAUUGGGCGUAAAGAGCGUGUAGGCGGCCUGAAAGGUCAGCUGUGAAAACUCGAGGCUCAACCUCGAGACGUCGGUUGAAACCAUCUGGCUAGAGUCCGGAAGAGGAGUGUGGAAUUCCCGGUGUAGCGGUGAAAUGCGCAGAUAUCGGGAAGAACACCCGUGGCGAAGGCGGCACUCUGGGCCGGUACUGACGCUGAGGAGCGAAAGCGUGGGGAGCGAACAGG
Molecule: ribosomal RNA, 253 nt
Filed under: uncultured bacterium
Lineage: Bacteria
Description: partial 16S ribosomal RNA
Rfam family: Bacterial small subunit ribosomal RNA
Source: RNAcentral